This 253-nucleotide ribosomal RNA is filed under the name uncultured bacterium. RNAcentral describes it as "partial 16S ribosomal RNA". It matches the Rfam family "Bacterial small subunit ribosomal RNA", at positions 524 to 776 of the family's 1533-position model. The record is from RNAcentral.
UACGGAGGGUGCGAGCGUUAAUCGGAAUUACUGGGCGUAAAGCGCGCGUAGGCGGUUUGUUAAGUCAGCUGUGAAAGCCCCGGGCUCAACCUGGGAACUGCAGUUGAUACUGGCCGACUGGAGUGCGAGAGAGGGAGGUAGAAUUCCAUGUGUAGCGGUGAAAUGCGCAGAUAUCAGGAAGAACACCCGUGGCUAAGGCGGCUCUCUAGUACGGUACUGACGCUGAGACGCGAAAGCGUGGGGAGCGAACAGG